GACGAACGCUGGCGGCGUGCUUAACACAUGCAAGUCGAACGACGAAGAAAAGAAUCGUUGCUUCGGCAGAAAUUCAUUUCGGAUUAGUGGCAGACGGGUGAGUAACCCGUGAUCAACCUACCUCUUACAAAGGGAUAGCCUCGGGAAACCGGGAUUAAUACCAUAUAACAUUGUGACGAAGCAUUUCGCUGCAAUCAAAGCUACGGCGGUAAGAGAUGGGCUCGUGUCCGAUUAACCGGAUGGCGGGGUAACGGCUCACCAUAGGGACGAUGGGUAACCGGGCGGAGAGGAGGAGCAGACACACGGGAAAGGAGACACGGGCAAGACGACUGAGGGAGGCAGAAGUGGGGAAUAUUGGACAAUGGGCGAAAGCGUGAUCAAGCAAUAAAGCGGGGGGGAAGAAGGCCGUCGGGUAGUAAAGAAAGUGUGUUGGGAAAGAAAAGAAGCAGGUUAAUACCCAGCUGUUGGGACGGUAACCAAAGAAUAAGCAACGGCUAACUUCGGG
RNAcentral lists this ribosomal RNA (505 nucleotides) under uncultured bacterium. Its description in RNAcentral is "partial 16S ribosomal RNA". It matches the Rfam family "Bacterial small subunit ribosomal RNA", at positions 28 to 507 of the family's 1533-position model. The record is from RNAcentral.